CUGGAUUCCCUCCUGGGACCAGCAUCACCGCUUCAUGGAUCUGUUUCAGCUCUCAUAUGUGCAAAUGUUUUGGGGUUAAACCAUCAGAGGGGGGGGAGGCUGACCUCUGGGACUUCUGUGGUCUUUCAGUGUGCACAUCAGUGUGCACGUCGAGGCAUCGUCGACAUUUUGGAAACAUCUGGAACCACCCGGGAAGAGGUAAAAGGAAACAGUCUGGCCUUUCUGGACUGCGCAGUCAAGAUCACUGAGGACAGAAAUCUCACCAUCGAAGUCUACAGAAAACCUACACAUACCGACCAGUACCUCCAGUUUGACUCUCACCACCCACUGGAACACAAGUUGGGAGUGAUCAGAACUCUCCAACACCGGGCCAGAGAAAUACCCACCACAUCCCAAGGCAGAAAGAAGGAACAGAACCACAUUAAGACAGCUCUCAAAACAUGUGGCUACCCAGACUGGGCCUUCACCAAAACCUCAAGAAAGCAAGACCUCAGCAAAGGAGAGGAGGAGAGAAACAAACGCCGCAGCGUUUCCAUCCCCUACCUGUCUGGAGUCUCGGAGAAGUUUAGGAGGAUCCUCCAGAAACACGACAUACCGGUUCAUUUCAAACCCAGCAACACUCUCAGACAGAGGUUAGUACACCCAAAGGACAAGACACCAAGACCCAAACAAAGUAAUGUUGUUUAUGCUGUACAGUGCCAGGAGAAAUGCAAGGAACUGUACAUUGGGGAAACCAAACAACCUCUACACAGAAGAAUGGCACAACACAGACGUGCCACCUCUUCGGGUCAGGAUUCAGCAGUCCACUUACACUUAAAGGAGAGUGGGCACUCCUUCGAGGACAGCCAAGUACGGAUACUGGCCAGAGAAGACCGCUGGUUCGAAAGGGGGGUCAAGGAAGCUAUCCAUGUUAAAUUGGAGAAACCAUCCUUAAACAGGGGUGGUGGCCUGAGGCACUUCCUAUCACCCACAUACAAUGCAGUCCUCCACUCCUUCCAACAGCAAAACAAACAUUCACACCAUUCCAAGAGACCCAGUGACUCAUCACCAUGUGACCCAGCAGACAAAGGGGAGACAUCUCAACAGAAACUAGGUCAACGACCCGACCAACGACCCUGCUAA
This 1122-nucleotide long non-coding RNA is filed under the name Takifugu rubripes (torafugu). RNAcentral describes it as "lncRNA (ENSTRUG00000029474.1)". The record is from RNAcentral. Lineage: Eukaryota; Metazoa; Chordata; Actinopteri; Tetraodontiformes; Tetraodontidae.